UUACGGCCACAUUACGUUGAAACACCUGUUCCCGUACGAUUACCGAAGUUAAACAACGUCGAACCAGGCUAAUAACCAGAUGGGUAACCACUUGGGAAUACCAUGUGCUGUAUG
Non-coding RNA from Acanthosepion pharaonis, 114 nucleotides. The record is from the annotation of a GenBank genome assembly. NCBI's taxonomy places the organism in Eukaryota, Metazoa, Mollusca, Cephalopoda, Sepiida, Sepiidae.